This 101-nucleotide ribosomal RNA is filed under the name uncultured bacterium. Its description in RNAcentral is "partial 16S ribosomal RNA". It matches the Rfam family "Bacterial small subunit ribosomal RNA", at positions 1384 to 1482 of the family's 1533-position model. The record is from RNAcentral.
UACACACCGCCCGUCACACCAUGGGAGUCAGUUGCUCCAGAAACGGCUGCGCUAACCCGCAAGGGGGGCAGGUCUUUAAGGAGCGACUGGUAACUGGGGUG